RNAcentral lists this ribosomal RNA (354 nucleotides) under uncultured Desulfobulbus sp. RNAcentral describes it as "bacterial SSU rRNA". It matches the Rfam family "Bacterial small subunit ribosomal RNA", at positions 1028 to 1382 of the family's 1533-position model. The record is from RNAcentral. Lineage: Bacteria; Pseudomonadati; Thermodesulfobacteriota; Desulfobulbia; Desulfobulbales; Desulfobulbaceae.
CUGGAGACAGGUGCUGCAUGGCUGUCGUCAGCUCGUGUCGUGAGAUGUUGGGUUAAGUCCCGCAACGAGCGCAACCCUUGCCUUUAGUUGCCAGCAGUUCGGCUGGGCACUCUAAAGGGACUGCCGGUGUUAAACCGGAGGAAGGUGGGGAUGACGUCAAGUCCUCAUGGCCUUUAUGACCAGGGCUACACACGUACUACAAUGGCCGAUACAAAGAGCAGCGACACUGCGAGGUGAAGCCAAUCCCGUAAAAUCGGUCUCAGUCCGGAUUGGAGUCUGCAACUCGACUCCAUGAAGUUGGAAUCGCUAGUAAUCGUGGAUCAGCAUGCCACGGUGAAUACGUUCCCGGGCCUU